This 68-nucleotide transfer RNA is filed under the name Caroperla siveci. RNAcentral describes it as "tRNA-Asn". Lineage: Eukaryota; Metazoa; Arthropoda; Insecta; Plecoptera; Perlidae. The record is from RNAcentral.
UUAAUUGAAGCCAAAAUAGAGGCAUAUCAUUGUUAAUGAUAACACUGAAUAAAAAGAUUCCAAUUAAG